GACGAACGCUGGCGGCGUGCUUAACACAUGCAAGUCGAGCGGAAAGGCCCUUCGGGGUACUCGAGCGGCGAACGGGUGAGUAACACGUGGGUAACCUGCCUCAGACUCUGGGAUAACUCCGGGAAACCGGGGCUAAUACUGGAUAUGACCACUAACCGCAUGGUUUGGUGGUGGAAAGUUUUCGUCUGAGAUGGGCCCGGCGGCCUAUCAGCUUGUUGGUGGGGUGAUGGCCUACCAAGGCGACGACGGGUAGCCGGCCUGAGAGGGCGACCGGCCACACUGGGACUGAGACACGGCCCAGACUCCUACGGGAGGCAGCAGUGGGGAAUCUUGCGCAAUGGGGCGGAAGCCUGACGCAGCAACGCCGCGUGAGGGAUGAAGGCC
RNAcentral lists this ribosomal RNA (384 nucleotides) under uncultured bacterium. RNAcentral describes it as "bacterial SSU rRNA". It matches the Rfam family "Bacterial small subunit ribosomal RNA", at positions 28 to 416 of the family's 1533-position model. The record is from RNAcentral.